Long non-coding RNA from Symphalangus syndactylus (siamang), 1210 nucleotides. RefSeq lists it as uncharacterized. NCBI's taxonomy places the organism in Eukaryota, Metazoa, Chordata, Mammalia, Primates, Hylobatidae. The record is from RefSeq and is a predicted model, not a curated record.
AGAGCUCCUUGGCACUGGAUGCCUCCGGGUCUGGUUGAGAGAGGAAUGGUUAGGAGACUGUUCUGAGGAUACGCAGACAUCAUCCAAAGCUUCCUACAUUCAGAUGAGGACAGAGGUUGGGCCAGAGCUUUGUAUGCUUGUUACCUAAGGAUGGUUCUGACCAUGUAAGCAGAUCACAGAAGAGCCAGCCAAGAACAUAAGCAGAUGUGCUGAUGGCAACCUAGAACAUAAGCAGAGGAGAAUACAGGACGGGAACUUGAUGGUCUCGGGAAAAUGGACAACAUGACUCAGGUGAAAAAGAUUGAUCAUCAGAUGUUUCUUAUGUAUCAACCUGACAUUUAAAUCUAUGAAGGAGAGAGAUAACAAAGGCAGGUGGAAUAGACAGAGAAAAGGUUCAAGGUCUGAGCUCUACAUUACUCAAACUGUUAGAGAUUGGGAAGAAGAGGAAGACCUGGCAAAAGAAUGUCCUGGGAUGUAGAAAGAAAACCAGAAGCUUGUGGUCUCUGGAAACCAAAUGAAGAAAGGGACAGAAGGACAGACGAAGUGUAGUGUGUCAAAGGCUCCUGAGCAAUCAGAGGAGAGCACAAAGGGGCUCACAGGACUUUGGUAUCUGGAUCACCCAGUGACACUUCCUGAUCAUGAGAAACUGUCAGACCAACAGGGGCACUUCUGAAACCAGCAGUUCUUCAGUGCCCAAAUGCAACCUUGAUGGUUUGAUUUUGGAGGAUGGCAAUUCAUUAACAGCACUCCCCAGUGAUAAAUAUGAAAACCAAUAAAACCCCCCACCCAAGGCAACCUCUCCCAGCUCCUCGCUUUGAGUAAAGAGAAACCCGGAGAAGCAGUCCUAGGGCAGCCUCUGGGCCAGCUUUCCCUAAUAAGGCAGAGCUCCUCUUCACCCAGACUUCAGACCUAUAGAGGCAGCCUGGGGUCCCGGGAUGCCCUUGCACUCAGAGAUGUCCCCAGAGUCCUAGGGAAAUGGAGGAUAACUAGGAGGAAGCUGUUCGUGGCCGGCGAGGGGGUCUAUACAUUCUUGUCCAUCUCAGUGCUGUCUGCUAUUGAAUUUUUGUGCAGAUCAAAUUAAUUUAAAGCCAGUUCUCAAGAAGCCACACCCCGCCCGCCCCCGCCACCGGCAUAGCCACCAGUUGCUCCCCUUUCCUGCCAUUAAUCAGUGUCUGCUAAUUAGAGAACAAAUUCCUAUUUGUCCAAACAG